RNAcentral lists this unclassified non-coding RNA (361 nucleotides) under Hevea brasiliensis (rubber tree). Lineage: Eukaryota; Viridiplantae; Streptophyta; Magnoliopsida; Malpighiales; Euphorbiaceae. The record is from RNAcentral.
AAAAUUAGUUCUGAUGGGAUCUUUGCAGAACUAACUGAUUGUAAAGAAGCAGAAGAGAGAACUAACUCUGAUGGGAUCUUUGCAGAACAAACUGAUAACAAAGAAGCAGAAAUUAUACUCUCAAUGGAAGUAGAGGCUGACCAGCAGGAGGACAAUGAAAAAUCUGAUCGGUUGAUAGAGAAGCAAAUGGAAAGAGAAAUAGUAAAUAAUGAGGUUUUUCUACAGUCAGAGGUUGAUAAGCAUGAGAGUAUGGAUGAAUCUGAUGGGUUGAUAGAGAAGCAAAUGGAAAGAGAAAUAGUAAAUAAUGAGGUUUUUCUACAGUCAGAGGUUGAUAAGCAUGAGAGUAUGGAUGAAUCUGAUG